AGAGUUUGAUCAUGGCUCAGGACGAACGCUGGCGGCGUGCUUAACACAUGCAAGUCGAACGGAAAGGCCCUUCGGGGUACUCGAGUGGCGAACGGGUGAGUAACACGUGGGUGAUCUGCCUUGCACUUUGGGAUAAGCCUGGGAAACUGGGUCUAAUACCGAAUACACCUCAAUGACUGCAUGGUUGGUGGGGGGAAGCUUUUGCGGUGUGGGAUGGGCCCGCGGCCUAUCAGCUUGUUGGUGAGGUUACGGCUCACCAAGGCGACGACGGGUAGCCGGCCUGAGAGGGUGACCGGCCACACUGGGACUGAGAUACGGCCCAGACUCCUACGGGAGGCAGCAGUGGGGAAUAUUGCACAAUGGGCGCAAGCCUGAUGCAGCGACGCCGCGUGGGGGAUGACGGCCUUCGGGUUGUAAACUCCUUUCAGCACAGACGAAGCGCAAGUGACGGUAUGUGCAGAAGAAGGACCGGCCAACUACGUGCCAGCAGCCGCGGUAAUACGUAGGGUCCGAGCGUUGUCCGGAAUUACUGGGCGUAAAGAGCUCGUAGGUGGUUUGUCGCGUUGUUCGUGAAAACUCACAGCUUAACUGUGGGCGUGCGGGCGAUACGGGCAGACUUGAGUACUGCAGGGGAGACUGGAAUUCCUGGUGUAGCGGUGGAAUGCGCAGAUAUCAGGAGGAACACCGGUGGCGAAGGCGGGUCUCUGGGCAGUAACUGACGCUGAGGCGCGAAAGCGUGGGGAGCGAACAGGAUUAGAUACCCUGGUAGUCC
Molecule: ribosomal RNA, 772 nt
Filed under: uncultured bacterium
Lineage: Bacteria
Description: bacterial SSU rRNA
Rfam family: Bacterial small subunit ribosomal RNA
Source: RNAcentral